This is a non-coding RNA of Bos taurus (domestic cattle), 35 nucleotides long. The record is from Rfam. NCBI's taxonomy places the organism in Eukaryota, Metazoa, Chordata, Mammalia, Artiodactyla, Bovidae.
CUGUCUCUUGCUUCCACAGUGUUUGAAUGGAAUAG